ACAUUMUCGCGAUCAGYCUGCCUUCGGGACAGGUGUACUUCCCCGUCGGCGGGCCAGCGUCGGUUUGGGUGGCCGGUCAAAGGCCCUGGGAAUGUAACGCCUCUCGGGGMGYCUUAUAGCCCAGGGUGUCAUGCGGCCUACCCGGACCGAGGAACGCGCUUCGGCUCGGACGCUGGCAUAAUGGUCGUAAACGACCCGUCUUGAAACACGGACCAAGGAGUC
RNAcentral lists this ribosomal RNA (222 nucleotides) under Penicillium sclerotiorum. RNAcentral's name for it is "partial large subunit ribosomal RNA". Lineage: Eukaryota; Fungi; Ascomycota; Eurotiomycetes; Eurotiales; Aspergillaceae. The record is from RNAcentral.